Molecule: ribosomal RNA, 492 nt
Filed under: uncultured bacterium
Lineage: Bacteria
Description: partial 16S ribosomal RNA
Rfam family: Bacterial small subunit ribosomal RNA
Source: RNAcentral
AGUGAACGCUGGCGGUAGGCCUAACACAUGCAAGUCGAACGGCAGCACAGUAAGAGCUUGCUCUUACGGGUGGCGAGUGGCGGACGGGUGAGGAAUACAUCGGAAUCUACUUUUUCGUGGGGGAUAACGUGGGGAAACUAACGCUAAUACCGCAACGGCCCUAGGGGUAAAAGCAGGGGAUCUUCGGACCUUGCGCUCUGAAGUGCGCCGAUGUGGGUUUAUCUUGUGGGCGGGGAAAAGGCCCACAAAGGCGACGAUCCCUAGCUGGUCUGAGAGGAUGAUCAGCCACACUGGAACUGAGACACGGUCCAGACUCCUACGGGAGGGAGCAGUGGGGAAUAUUGGACAAUGGGCGCAAGCCUGAUCCAGCCAUGCCGCGUGGGUGAAGAAGGCCUUCGGGUUGUAAAGUCCUUUUGGUGGGGAAGAAAAGCGUCAAGUUAAUACCCCGGCUUUUUGACGGUACCCAAAGAAUAAGCACCGGCUAACUUCGUG